CCUCUAGCUUAGUUGGUCAGUUUCAGUGUCAGGAUAACCUUGUUAUGCAAUUUUCUUGCUGGGCAGAGUAUAGCUGUUUGCAGCUUAUCUAGGUCAAAAUUUGAAUUCAACUGAUGGACAAGAAGUGCGCCUCUCUUUGCUGUUCAUAUUUAAUGUGUUUUCAAGCUAUAUACACAAGGAUUAAGGAUGGAAUAUCAACUUCUGCUCAUUCGUCGUAAGGUUCAAUCAACCAGUGGUGCAGGGAAUUGAUUGUAUAUAAGUCAGCCUUGAUUGCAUCAGAUUCUUCGCCCGUGAAAAUUAUACAAAGGAAUGCAACAUUUUGCUUUUGCUUUAGAGGGUGGAUUCUCCUGUUCAUUUCUUUCAUUCGUGGGACUUAACUAUAUGCGUGAUUAAAAUCAAUGGAUCCGCCACUUUGUGGAACUUAGUAGUGUAAGGCAGACGCGUACUUUGAAGGACCUGGAUGUGAUUACUGUGACCCACUUUUCACUAGGAAUAUAAAUUUUGUCAA
Saccostrea cuccullata (small rock oyster) is the source of this 508-nucleotide long non-coding RNA. RefSeq lists it as uncharacterized. The transcript is spliced from 3 exons. The record is from RefSeq and is a predicted model, not a curated record. NCBI's taxonomy places the organism in Eukaryota, Metazoa, Mollusca, Bivalvia, Ostreida, Ostreidae.